CUUUCAACAACGGAUCUCUUGGUUCUGGCAUCGAUGAAGAACGCAGCGAAAUGCGAUAAGUAAUGCGAAUUGCAGAAUUCCGUGAGUCAUCGAAUCUUUGAACGCACAUUGCGCCCUUUGGUAUUCCAAAGGGCAUGCCUGUUCGAGCGUCAUUAUCAAC
This 160-nucleotide ribosomal RNA is filed under the name Bagliettoa parmigera. RNAcentral describes it as "5.8S ribosomal RNA". It matches the Rfam family "5.8S ribosomal RNA". Rfam says of the family: 5.8S ribosomal RNA (5.8S rRNA) is a component of the large subunit of the eukaryotic ribosome. Lineage: Eukaryota; Fungi; Ascomycota; Eurotiomycetes; Verrucariales; Verrucariaceae. The record is from RNAcentral.